RNAcentral lists this unclassified non-coding RNA (2157 nucleotides) under Amphibalanus amphitrite. RNAcentral describes it as "uncharacterized protein K02A2.6-like, transcript variant X1". The record is from RNAcentral. Lineage: Eukaryota; Metazoa; Arthropoda; Thecostraca; Balanomorpha; Balanidae.
CAAGGGCCAGAAGCAUGCUAACCUCAAGGUUGUUGUGGUACAAGGAAAUAGGACCAGCCUAUUGGGACGGGACUGGUUGAAAGCUGUCAAGUUAGACUGGAAGGAAGUGUGUGCUGUUGAGAAUGUGUCAGUAGCGGCGUUGAGAAGGAAGUAUGCGGAAGUGUUUGAACCAGGUCUGGGGGAGUUGAAGGAUGUGAAGCUCCGCCUGAACAUUGACCGAAGUGUGCAGCCCAAGUUUUUCAGAGCUCGUUCCAUGCCAUACGCCUACAAGGAAAAGGUGGAGAAGCAGCUGCAAAAGGACGUAGAGUCUGGUGUACUUGAACAGGUAACGCACAGCAGGUGGGCCGCUCCGCUAGUUCCUGUCUUGAAAAAGGAUGGCACUGUCAGAGUAUGUGCUAACUUAAAGCUGACUGCAAAUAAGGCUGUGAAGUGUGACACAUAUCCGCUUCCGCGCGCGCAGGAUAUUUUCGCGCAGCUUGCUGGGGGACGAGUCUUCACUACGCUGGAUCUAGCACAGGCGUAUAACCAGGUCAUUGUGCAUGAAGACUCGCGCGAUGUACUGACGGUGAACACGCCGAAGGGGUUGAUGCGUUACUCUCGUCUGCCUUUUGGGCUCAAUUCGGCGGUCAGUCUGUUCCAGAGGGAGAUUGAGCGGGUGCUUCGUGACUUACCUGGUGUGGUGGCUUACCUGGACGACAUCCUGAUCUCCAGCAGAACGACGGAGGAGCAUCUGAAGACGCUGGACGACGUCCUCGGAAGACUGAAGAGAGCCGGGUUGAAGGUGAGACCAGCCAAGUGUAGAUUCUUGGUGCCCAGUGUCGAGUACUUGGGUCACAUCGUUGACAAGGACGGCAUCAGGCCGACACCAGCCAAGGUGCGAGCCAUACAGUCAGCGCCAGAACCGAAGAACGUUAAGCAGCUGAAGUCGUUCCUGGGAAUUCUGACGUAUUAUUCCAGAUAUAUUCCAGACCGCAGUCAGAAGCUGGCGCCACUUCAUCUCCUCCUGCAGAAGGACGUGGCAUGGCGCUGGGGUGCAGAGCAGGCUGCCAGCUUCCAGUGGGCUCGUGACGUCCUCUCGUCUGGCUCCGUGUUGGGUCACUUCGACAUCAACAAACGCAGGGCACGUGAAGCAGUCUUGAAGGAGCUGCAUGUGGCGCACCCUGGCAUCCGCCGCAUGAAGGCUCUGGCGAGAGGCUGUGUCUGGUGGCCUCAACUGGACCAGCAUAUUGAGCACAUCGUGAACUCCUGUCAAGCCUGCCAGGAAAGCCGACCUGCACCGGGACGUUCUCCAAUCUGCAUGUGGCCGUGGCCUGAGCGGGCAUGGUCGAGGAUCCACGUGGACUUCGCUGAGCCGAAGAAGGGAAGCGUAUCACCCCGCACAGCACAACUUCCGUAGCCCCCUCAGAGCUGAUGGUGGGGCGUGUCCUCCGAAGUCGCCUGGACCUUCUGCACCCGGACCUGCGAACUGAGGUGAAGAAACAACAGGUGAUCCAAAAGGAAAACCACGAUGCUAAGGACGUUCUGCGCUGACUUCGGAGCCCGGUGACAUUCCUGCGGAAGGAGGGCAGCCAUCUCGGAAUCCGACGGCGGCGCUGCAGCCGUCUCGUCCGGGGGAGUCUGGCUUGGACGCGUCGCUGCCGCCGUUCAGCACACCUGGAGCGGCGCCUAGCGCUCCAGCAGCAUCGCCAUCAUCUUCGGCGCCUGCUCCGUCGGAGCCCCGGCCUGAGGCAUCAGAGCUCGAGCCCGCGUGUGUCGCCGGCGACGCUGGUGCACGGACGGAAACCCCACUGCGUUCGGGGCUCGGAGUGGAGGCUGGUGCAGGUGUACAGUCUCGUGUGUUGGACGAGGGUGGUGGUGUUCGUCGCGGAACUAGAGUGAGAAAGCAGACUAAGUUUUUUGGUUCCUAGCUCUGUUCAUAUUACUUGUGUUUUGUGAGGGGGCAGUGUAGUGAACUAUGGUUCACGCCUCCCCCCACCUGUGGCCUGAGUGCGCCGCUGCGCCUCCCUUAUCGGCCGUCCCUGUAUCCGUCCCUGCGCGGUGUCCGUCCCUGCGUGUCGCGGCGCAUGUGCCUCGGGCGGUUUUGUGUGGCCUGGCGCGGCGGCCGGUCGGCCGGCCGCGCGGCAGUCUGCAGCUGGACCCAAUACAGCAAGGAGCUCG